RNAcentral lists this ribosomal RNA (253 nucleotides) under uncultured bacterium. RNAcentral's name for it is "partial 16S ribosomal RNA". It matches the Rfam family "Bacterial small subunit ribosomal RNA", at positions 524 to 776 of the family's 1533-position model. The record is from RNAcentral.
UACAGAGGAUGCAAGCGUUAUCCGGAAUGAUUGGGCGUAAAGCGUCUGUAGGUGGCUUUUUAAGUCCGCCGUCAAAUCCCAGGGCUCAACUCUGGACAGGCGGUGGAAACUACCAAGCUGGAGUACGGUAGGGGCAGAGGGAAUUUCCGGUGUAGCGGUGAAAUGCGUAGAUAUCGGAAGGAACACCAGUGGCGAAAGCGGCUUCCUGGUCCAGCACCGACAUUCAGGCACGAAAGCGUGGGGAGCAAACAGG